Molecule: long non-coding RNA, 418 nt
Organism: Oncorhynchus keta (chum salmon)
Lineage: Eukaryota; Metazoa; Chordata; Actinopteri; Salmoniformes; Salmonidae
Exons: 4
Source: RefSeq, a predicted model, not a curated record
CAAUAGAUGGGUGUUGGUUAAAUGGUAGGUCCCAGUAGUCACAACAAUAGAUGGGUGUUGGUUAAAUGGUAGGUCCCGGUAGUCACAACAAUAGAUGGGUGUUGGUUAAAUGGUAGGUCCCGGUAGUCACAACAAUAGAUGGGUGUUGGUUAAAUGGUAGGUCCCGGUAGUCACAACAAUAGAUGGGUGUUGGUUAAAUGGUAGGUCCCGGUAGUCACAACAAUAGAUGGGUGUUGGUUAAAUGGUAGGUCCCGGUAGUCACAACAAUAGAUGGGUGUUGGUUAAAUGGUAGGUCCCGGUAGUCACAACAAUAGAUGGGUGUUGGUUAAAUGGUAGGUCCCGGUAGUCACAACAAUAGAUGGGUGUUGGUUAAAUGGUAGGUCCCGGUAGUCACAACAAUAGAUGGGUGUUGGUUAAA